This 404-nucleotide ribosomal RNA is filed under the name uncultured bacterium. RNAcentral's name for it is "partial 16S ribosomal RNA". It matches the Rfam family "Bacterial small subunit ribosomal RNA", at positions 28 to 526 of the family's 1533-position model. The record is from RNAcentral.
GAUGAACGCUGACAGCAUGCUUAACACAUGCAAGUCCACUUUGGCGGACGGGUGAGUAACGCGUACAGAACUUGCCUCCCAGCUAGGGACACCAUUUGGAAACGAAUGCUAAUACCUGAUACUGUGAGAGAGCUUUGCGUCCCAUUAGCUAGUUGGAGAGGUAACGGCUCACCAAGGCGAUGAUGGGUAGCCGGCCUGAGAGGGUGAUCGGCCACAAGGGGACUGGGACACGGCCCUUAGUAGUACGGGAGGCAGCAGUAGGGAAUAUGGGACAAUGGAGCAAAGUGUGAUCCAGCAAUUGUGUGUGCACGAUGAAGUUUUCGGAAUGUAAAGUGCUUUCAGUUGGGAAGCGGUAACAACAGAAGAAGGGACGGCUAAAUACGUGCCAGCAGCCGCGGUAAUUC